UACGUAGGCAGCAAGCGUUGUUCGGAGUUACUGGGCGUAAAGGGUGUGUAGGCGGUUCUUUAAGUUUGGUGGGAAAUCUCCCGGCUCAACUGGGAGGGUGCGCCGAAUACUGAGGGACUAGAGUACGGGAGAGGAAAGUGGAAUUCCUGGUGUAGCGGUGAAAUGCGUAGAUAUCAGGAGGAACACCGGGGGUGUAGACGGCUUUCUGGACCGACACUGACGCUGAGACACGAAAGCGUGGGUAGCAAACAGG
RNAcentral lists this ribosomal RNA (253 nucleotides) under uncultured bacterium. RNAcentral describes it as "partial 16S ribosomal RNA". It matches the Rfam family "Bacterial small subunit ribosomal RNA", at positions 524 to 776 of the family's 1533-position model. The record is from RNAcentral.